UUGGGGUCCCCAGCAGGUGACAGUCACUCCUCACCCCCAGGACACUUCUCCAGGGCCCUCUGCCCGUCGGGAGGGGGAGCAGGCAGGGAAGGGGCGCGGGCAGGGAAGGGGCAGGGAAGGGGCACGGGCAGGGAAGGGGCGCGGGCAGGGAAGGGGCGCGGGCAGGGAAGGGGCAGGGAAGGGGCGCGGGCAGGGAAGGGGCGCGGGCAGGGAAGGGGCGCGGGCAGGGAAGGGGCAGGGAAGGGGCGCGGGCAGGGCCAGGGGCAGGGAAGGGGCGCGGGCAGGGCCAGGGGCAGGGAAGGGGCGCGGGCAGGGCCAGGGGCAGGGAAGGGGCGCGGGCAGGGAAGGGGCGCAGGCAGGGAAGGGGCGCAUGUGAGAAGGGGGACUCAGCUUCUGAGGUACCCUCAUGGUGAACAGCCGGGGAACAAGCCGGCGCUGCAGGGCCAUGGCAUAGGCCUGAGGCUCGGGCUGACUCUCCUUAGGGCCCACAGCAGGAAAGGGGGGCCUCCUGUACCCACCCCUGGGCCGGGCAAUGAGCAGUGGAGGUGGGGGAGGCCUGGAGGGAGGCAGAGCGGGCUGGGGGGACCCCACGCCCUCCCAGGGGCCUCGUUUUCCUCCCUGAUGGCAUCCUUCAAGGGAGAGCCGGGGAGGCAGCUUUGGGACUCCCCGCUCGGGCCGGUUUGUGCAGCAGCGAUGAGAAGGCCCAGGUCGGCUGCCUGCGCCUGGGCUCCAGUCUGGAGAGGCCCCGAUGAGCUCCGAGGCCACACAGGCGCCUCCCCAGGGCUGGGCACCGAAGGGCCCUGCAGCCGCCCCAACUUCUGUCUUAGAAUUGCCACAAGGCCUGGGCUCCAGGGCAGAGGAGCCCUGAGGGCUGGGCAAGCCGGCUGCAGUGACUGGGCCAGGGUCUCCCAGCCAGGAACCCAGGGUCUCCCCACAGCGGUCUGGGCUGCCCCUGGCUGGGCUCCCAGUGUUCCUCCUGGGGUCCCCGGGGCCAGGCUUGCCAGGCCCCACCUCCCCGGCUGA
RNAcentral lists this long non-coding RNA (1023 nucleotides) under Monodelphis domestica (gray short-tailed opossum). Its description in RNAcentral is "lncRNA (ENSMODG00000041331.1)". The record is from RNAcentral. Lineage: Eukaryota; Metazoa; Chordata; Mammalia; Didelphimorphia; Didelphidae.